CGGGAGUGACUUAGCGGCGGACGGGUGAGUAACGCGUGGGUAACCUGCCCCAUACCGGGGGAUAACGGUUAGAAAUGACCGCUAAUACCGCUUAAGCGCGCGAGGCCGCAUGGCCGCGCGCGAAAAACUCCGGUGGUAUGGGAUGGGCCCGCGUCUGAUUAGCUAGUUGGCGGGGUAACGGCCCACCAAGGCGACGAUCAGUAGCCGACCUGAGAGGGUGGCCGGCCACAUUGGGACUGAGACACGGCCCAAACUCCUACGGAAGGCAGCAG
This 272-nucleotide ribosomal RNA is filed under the name uncultured bacterium. RNAcentral's name for it is "partial 16S ribosomal RNA". It matches the Rfam family "Bacterial small subunit ribosomal RNA", at positions 82 to 354 of the family's 1533-position model. The record is from RNAcentral.